GUGCUUGCUUCAACAGCACAUAUACUAAAAGUUGGAAUGAUACAGAGAAGAUUAGCAUGGCCCCUGCACAAGGACAAUGUGCAAAUUCAUGAGGCAUUCCAUAUUAAA
Molecule: small nuclear RNA, 108 nt
Filed under: Erinaceus europaeus (western European hedgehog)
Lineage: Eukaryota; Metazoa; Chordata; Mammalia; Eulipotyphla; Erinaceidae
Source: RNAcentral